RNAcentral lists this transfer RNA (71 nucleotides) under Marmota monax (woodchuck). RNAcentral's name for it is "tRNA.Ala". It matches the Rfam family "tRNA". From Rfam's summary of the family: Transfer RNA (tRNA) molecules are approximately 80 nucleotides in length. Their secondary structure includes four short double-helical elements and three loops (D, anti-codon, and T loops). Lineage: Eukaryota; Metazoa; Chordata; Mammalia; Rodentia; Sciuridae. The record is from RNAcentral.
GGGGCUGUAGCUCAGUGGUAGAGUGCCUGCCUAGCAUGCAUGAGGCACUGGGUUUGAUCCUCAGCACCACA